This 84-nucleotide transfer RNA is filed under the name Nitrospina gracilis. RNAcentral describes it as "tRNA-Leu". It matches the Rfam family "tRNA". Rfam says of the family: Transfer RNA (tRNA) molecules are approximately 80 nucleotides in length. Their secondary structure includes four short double-helical elements and three loops (D, anti-codon, and T loops). Further hydrogen bonds mediate the characteristic L-shaped molecular structure. tRNAs have two regions of fundamental functional importance: the anti-codon, which is responsible for specific mRNA codon recognition, and the 3' end, to which the tRNAs corresponding amino acid is attached (by aminoacyl-tRNA synthetases). tRNAs cope with the degeneracy of the genetic code in two manners: having more than one tRNA (with a specific anti-codon) for a particular amino acid; and 'wobble' base-pairing, i.e. permitting non-standard base-pairing at the 3rd anti-codon position. The record is from RNAcentral. Lineage: Bacteria; Pseudomonadati; Nitrospinota; Nitrospinia; Nitrospinales; Nitrospinaceae. RNAcentral also lists the same sequence under 2 other names.
GCCGGGGUGGCGGAAUUGGUAGACGCAAGGGACUUAAAAUCCCUCGAGGGUAACCUCGUGCCGGUUCGAUUCCGGCCCUCGGCA